CAGCAGCCGCGGGAAUACGUAGGUGGCAAGCGUUGUCCGGAAUUAUUGGGCGUAAAGGGCUCGCAGGCGGUUUCUUAAGUCUGAUGUGAAAGCCCCCGGCUCAACCGGGGAGGGUCAUUGGAAACUGGGAAACUUGAGUGCAGAGGAGGAGAGUGGAAUUCCACGUGUAGCGGUGAAAUGCGUAGAGAUGUGGAGGAACACCAGUGGCGAAGGCGACUCUCUGGUCUGUAACUGACGCUGAGGAGCGAAAGCGUGGGGAGCGAACAGGAUUAGAUACCCCUGUAGUCCCUGUCUCUUAUAC
RNAcentral lists this ribosomal RNA (301 nucleotides) under uncultured bacterium. RNAcentral's name for it is "partial 16S ribosomal RNA". It matches the Rfam family "Bacterial small subunit ribosomal RNA", at positions 509 to 807 of the family's 1533-position model. The record is from RNAcentral.